CCUACGGGUGGCAGCAGUGGGGGAUAUUGCACAAUGGGGGAAACCCUGAUGCAGCGACGCCGCGUGGGUGAAGAAGCGCCUCGGCGCGUAAAGCCCUGUCAGCAGGGAAGAAACUGACGGUACCUGAAGAAGAAGCCCCCGCUAAAUACGUGCCAGCAGCCGCGGUAAUAAGGCGGGGGCAGGCGUUAUCCGGCUGUACUGGGGGUAAAGGGGGGGGAGGCGGCGAUGCAAGCCAGGAGGGAAAGCCCGGGGCCCAACCCCGGGACUGCUCUUGGAAAUGCGUGGCUUGAGUGCAGGAGGGGCAGGCGGAAUUCCUGGUGUAGCGGUGAAAUGCGUAGAUAUCAGGAGGAACACCGGUGGCGAAGGCGGCCUGCUGGACUGCAACUGACGUUGAGGUCCGAAAGCGUGGGGAGCAAACAGGAUUAGAUACCCUUGUAGUC
This 440-nucleotide ribosomal RNA is filed under the name uncultured bacterium. RNAcentral's name for it is "partial 16S ribosomal RNA". It matches the Rfam family "Bacterial small subunit ribosomal RNA", at positions 338 to 795 of the family's 1533-position model. The record is from RNAcentral.